This is a long non-coding RNA of Varroa destructor (honeybee mite), 1504 nucleotides long. RefSeq lists it as uncharacterized. The record is from RefSeq and is a predicted model, not a curated record. Lineage: Eukaryota; Metazoa; Arthropoda; Arachnida; Mesostigmata; Varroidae.
UACGCGAAUGCACGCCAGCAAAGCUAACGCUCACAAAGAUUUUACGAAUAGGGUGUGCAGAUUGUUAACCUCACCGAUAAAGGUGGUCCCAACCUUUGGAAGUCUUGAAUUUCGCUACUUGAUAGUUGUAUAUUAUGUUUUUGCUUCCUUACUCUGUUCCACCUUCUCCCCUUGUGAGAUAGCAGUGUUCAUUAUUGUUGACAUCCCUCGGCCUCCAUGGGAAUUGUUUCAACACGAUUCGAGUGGGGUUGUUCUACGUUGUAUACAACCAAGAAGAGAUGCUGAAAGGUCACAAUAGUCAAGAUGAUUGGAAGUCAUAGCAAGCUAUUGCCCUAGCCUUGGAAAUGGCGACCGAUAAAUACGGGUCCUCCCCUAAGGGUUAGAAUAAGAAGGUAGUUAAUGCAACGAGUUUCGUCCUAUUUUGCUAACCAAAAUAGAAGCAAGGAGCAAAGUGCAAAAAUACCUUUCUGCGACGUUUCGUGACGCGCGUCAAGAAAAACGCAGUACUUCGAGGAAGAACAAGCGCCACACAGAGGGGCCCUUUGAAGCUCGUAUCGGUCAAGGCCGAGGCUUGUUUUCGUUGCUUACCAUUUCCUGCAUGCUGUAAUGAUUAUAACGUACGUUUAUGCAACCUUAAAGAAUAAUCAAUGAACAAUCACGGAGCGCUCAUUGCAUUCAGUCGACACCCCUCCAAAGCUGCGCAGCGAACAAGAUGAAUGAUCAAUCAAAGUUGUUUUGAGCCCUUCGGGCGGACUGAGCAGUGGUAACAAUUACGGAAGAGGGGAGGACGUGUAUCUCUUGGCGUCCACAGUCUCAGCGUACAAUUUAUAUCUCUGUGCUAGGCGUUUGCUCUCGCUUUGAUUCUCGCCAUUUGUGGAGAUAUGUUUGGAAAAACGUAUGUGUGGCGAGGUGAUCCACGCGCUCGACAAAGUCCUAGUAUUUUUCCAGUAAGUUCUUCUGGUCAGUAGCAGAUGUCUGGCAAAUUCAUCUAUCGCUGAAGAGGCACAGAUGACAAGCGACAUGUCAGGCAGACAGUCGCCGGGGGGACUAGGACCAGCGCCGCCUUACCACACUUCGAGAUAAGCCUAAACGCUGGCUUUAUUCAUCCGUCCUAUUUAAUGAGAUUAUACGUAUCUUGUAUUUGACGAGGAAUUAUAGGCGUACAAAGAUGUUAUAAUAUUGUGAGUGGCUAUUGUAAUGCAGAUGUAUUUGUCAGCUAAGCGAAAACUGUUCGAGGAAGAUUGUGGCGAUAAAAAGAUCCACUGCUGACUUGGACACUUCUUGAACGUGAAGGAAGAUUAAAGUAUCGUUCCAUGAAUAAAUACAAUGAGCAUUGUCUAGAGAGACAAUACGCUUAACGCAACGUUCCUAUUUUAGAUUGACUCGCUUAGGACGUUAUUUAUGGCGUAGGCGUUCAUUUGGGCUGAAAUGAACGCAUUGUAGAACAGCGUAGUAUUUUAUGGAGAAUCUACGAAAGGAAAGACGUACUGCACACAAGCGAGCG